GCCUGGCUGGCUCAGUUGGAAAAGCAUGUGACUCUUGAUCUUGGGGUUGUGAGUUCGAGCCCCAUGUUGGGUA
RNAcentral lists this transfer RNA (73 nucleotides) under Ailuropoda melanoleuca (giant panda). It matches the Rfam family "tRNA". Rfam says of the family: Transfer RNA (tRNA) molecules are approximately 80 nucleotides in length. Their secondary structure includes four short double-helical elements and three loops (D, anti-codon, and T loops). The record is from Rfam by way of RNAcentral. Lineage: Eukaryota; Metazoa; Chordata; Mammalia; Carnivora; Ursidae.